This 461-nucleotide ribosomal RNA is filed under the name uncultured bacterium. Its description in RNAcentral is "partial 16S ribosomal RNA". It matches the Rfam family "Bacterial small subunit ribosomal RNA", at positions 28 to 523 of the family's 1533-position model. The record is from RNAcentral.
GAUGAACGCUGGCGGCGUGCCUAAUACAUGCAAGUCGAGCGGUAAGGCUCCCUCGGGAGUACACGAGCGGCGGACGGGUGAGUAAUACGUAGGAACGUACCCCAAAGUGAGGAAUAACCAGCCGAAAGGUUGGCUAAUACCGCAUAUGCUCUACGGAGUAAAGCAGCAAUGCGCGUUGGGAACGGCCUGCGUCCGAUUAGCUAGUUGGUAAGGUAAAGGCUUACCAAGGCGACGAUCGGUAGCUGUUCUGAGAGGAUGAUCAGCCACACUGGAACUGAGACACGGUCCAGACUCCUACGGGAGGCAGCAGUAGGGAAUUUUCCACAAUGGGCGAAAGCCUGAUGGAGCAACGCCGCGUGCAGGAUGAAGGCCUUAGGGUUGUAAACUGCUUUUAUCUGUGACGAUUAUGACAGUAGCAGAUGAAUAAGGAUCGGCUAACUCCGUGCCAGCCGCCGCGGUAA